GGAAAAUUGACAGUUACUGGUCUGGGUGCCUUUUGUGCUCUCAGAGGUGAGCUUAGUUCAUUCCACAAUGAUCUGGUCUGACCUCAGCCCUCUCUUAUGCCGGAUACCAAACGGCCUAGGGGCAAAGUGCCGGUUCAUAUGGGACCGCCGCUGCUCUCUGGAAGAAGCCACCUGCUAUGUGCUGAAGCAGCCUUGUGGAGAGACCCGUGUGGUUGGGACAGAGACUGCCGACAACCGUGCGAGUGAACUUAGAAGCUGAUCCAACCCUCCAGUCCUAGGUGAGCCUUCAUAUGAGAAGGCAGCCCUGUCUGACACCUUGACCGCAAUUUCAUGGGAGACUUUGAAUCAGAGAAACUCAACUACACUGUGCCCAGAUUCCUG
Molecule: long non-coding RNA, 381 nt
Organism: Bos taurus (domestic cattle)
Lineage: Eukaryota; Metazoa; Chordata; Mammalia; Artiodactyla; Bovidae
Source: Ensembl